Molecule: ribosomal RNA, 88 nt
Filed under: Erinaceus europaeus (western European hedgehog)
Lineage: Eukaryota; Metazoa; Chordata; Mammalia; Eulipotyphla; Erinaceidae
Source: RNAcentral
UAUGCCUCAGAUCCCACCCUGAACUCACUUGAGCUCCUCUGAUCUCAGAAGCUAAGCAGGAUUGUGUCUGGUUAGCACUUAGGUGUAA